Molecule: ribosomal RNA, 789 nt
Filed under: uncultured Staphylococcus sp.
Lineage: Bacteria; Bacillati; Bacillota; Bacilli; Caryophanales; Staphylococcaceae
Description: bacterial SSU rRNA
Rfam family: Bacterial small subunit ribosomal RNA
Source: RNAcentral
UAUAAGACUGGGAUAACUUCGGGAAACCGGGGCUAAUGCCGGAUAAUAUUUAGAACCGCAUGGUUCUAAAGUGAAAGAUGGUUUUACUAUCGCUUAUAGAUGGGCCCGCGCCGUAUUAGCUAGUUGGUGGGGUAAUGGCUUACCAAGGCAACGAUACGUAGCCGACCUGAGAGGGUGAUCGGCCACACUGGAACUGAGACACGGUCCAGACUCCUACGGGAGGCAGCAGUAGGGAAUCUUCCGCAAUGGGCGAAAGCCUGACGGAGCAACGCCGCGUGAGUGAUGAAGGUCUUCGGAUCGUAAAACUCUGUUAUUAGGGAAGAACAAAUGUGUAAGUAACUGUGCACGUCUUGACGGUACCUAAUCAGAAAGCCACGGCUAACUACGUGCCAGCAGCCGCGGUAAUACGUAGGUGGCAAGCGUUAUCCGGAAUUAUUGGGCGUAAAGCGCGCGUAGGCGGUUUCUUAAGUCUGAUGUGAAAGCCCACGGCUCAACCGUGGAGGGUCAUUGGAAACUGAGAAACUUGAGUGCAGAAGAGGAAAGUGGAAUUCCAUGUGUAGCGGUGAAAUGCGCAGAGAUAUGGAGGAACACCAGUGGCGAAGGCGACUUUCUGGUCUGUAACUGACGCUGAUGUGCGAAAGCGUGGGGAUCAAACAGGAUUAGAUACCCUGGUAGUCCACGCCGUAAACGAUGAGUGCUAAGUGUUAGGGGGUUUCCGCCCCUUAGUGCUGCAGCUAACGCAUUAAGCACUCCGCCUGGGGAGUGCGACCGCAAGGUUGAAACUCAGAG